Molecule: small nucleolar RNA, 107 nt
Organism: Hevea brasiliensis (rubber tree)
Lineage: Eukaryota; Viridiplantae; Streptophyta; Magnoliopsida; Malpighiales; Euphorbiaceae
Source: RefSeq, a predicted model, not a curated record
AUGCCAUGGUGUGGGCACUCACUCUAAAGAUCUUUGUACCUUUCCCAUUCAUCAUAAAGGGAUUCAUUAUCUUUUUAUCUAGAGAUGUUGAGUUCUGCUCUAAGUUU